GGGCGCGUAGCUCAGUCCGGAUAGAGCGUCGGACUUCUAACCGCGGCGGCACCGCCGUCGGGGGGAGCCAUCCGACGGUCGCGGGUUCGAAUCCCGUCGCGCCCG
RNAcentral lists this transfer RNA (105 nucleotides) under Candidatus Halobonum tyrrellensis G22. It matches the Rfam family "tRNA". Rfam says of the family: Transfer RNA (tRNA) molecules are approximately 80 nucleotides in length. Their secondary structure includes four short double-helical elements and three loops (D, anti-codon, and T loops). The record is from Rfam by way of RNAcentral. Lineage: Archaea; Methanobacteriati; Methanobacteriota; Halobacteria; Halobacteriales; Haloferacaceae.